ACUUGGGGUUGGUAGGUCCUUUCCCGGGAUCUCAAUAUGCUCUAAUUCUUGCAUGUCCCAAAUUUGCACAGGCAUAUAUGACUGAACUCCACGCUUUUUAAUGAUCAUAUGUCUGUAAAUAAUCAGGAAUUGAAGUUGAAAAAGGUUGGAUAUGGAAGCAGGGAGGUCACCGUUGUAAGUUAUGGCAAGAAGUCGUAGACAAACUAGUUUGAAAAUUUCAGUUGAGAUAUGGUAAAAUCGGACUUGACCAGCAUGUAGUACCCUGAGCAACUUGAAACCCAUGGCUUGUAUUGGAAUUGGAUAUGGGUGACCAAAACAAAGGAGAGAACGGACAGUCGAUGCACAAUCAAUUUUUAUCGAAUCAGACACUUGUUUGAAGCAUAAUAAACUGUUCCAAUGGGAACUCAAACGGCGCUGGUCUUUUAUAACAUCAUCACAACAUUGUAUGACAUGUAGAAACUUGAUCCUACUAGCUUCUACCCUACACAUGUGCUGCCAACAAGAAUGCACACGAUACUUUCUAUACCAAAACCAAGGUUCAUCAUCCUGUGAUUUGUCGAGAACAACAUGAUACCACAUCGAAAGCUUUCCCAAGCAUGUCUGCUUAAAAAGAUAAAAACUUUCUUCUCCACUCGGUUGAAGAAACACAUCAGCACUCAACGUAUAGAAGAGCAAUAUUACCGUGAUAUCCCAAUAUGGAGGGAAAGCUCCCAUGUAGAGAAGAAACAUUUUUAAAUAUUGGGGUAAGUAAUUAUAGCUUGGGAAAAGUACCUCUGAUAUUUGAUUAUAUGCAUCCACAAAGACUGAACUAUGUUUUUUGAUGAUUACCUCAGUCCAGUAUUCUGGGGUCUUGUCAGCUUCUGAUAAGAGCUUUGCAACCGUGACUAUCAUAAGAGGAAGGCCUUCACAUUUCAUGGCAAUCUUCUCUCCAAGUUUCUCAAGUUGAAAUGGAAAACCCUCUUCACCAAACACUUUCUCACCAAGUAAUUCCUUACUUUCUUCUUCAUUCAACAAGCGUAAUCUUUCAAAUUCACACCCACCCUCCGCGCAUACUAUUGCUUGUCUGCUUGUAAGUAUGAAUUGAAUCCUUCCAUCAAUAUUCUCAUGUCGCAAGAAAUUUCUAAUGAGAUUUACUGCUUGCAUCUCCCAAACAUCAUCGAACACGAUGAGACAUUUCUCAUCCUUCAAUUUUUCUUUCAAUACUUCAACUAAAUUCUCCCCAUUUUCAAGCAGUUCAUCAGCGUUGGGAAACACUUGAGCUAGAACGCAUGGUAAUAGUUCACAAGAUUCACAUUUUCUGCCCACUUUCACCCAUGCUCGAAACUCAAAAUGGCUCCGAAUUGAUGGAUCUUCAAAAAUAUACUUAGCAAGAGUUGUCUUUCCAACGCCCGCCAUCCCAAUAAUAGAAUAUGUUACGAUAAUGGAGGAGGAGAAGCAAAUGAGUUCUGGGCUAUUGGCUGAAAAAGGUGCUGAGCUGGCUGAAGAAAGAAAUUUCGUUGGCAAAACAGGGGAGGAUUUCCUCUCAAAAAGUGGCUAAGGAAGAAGAUGGUUGUUAUUUGAAGAAGCGUGUUUAUGUUAUCUAUUUAAUUGUUAUUUGUUUACUUUUCCAAGGCAGUUAGUUACGUGAGGGGACCAGCAUAUAUAUAUGCUUUGCAUGUAAAAGUUUUGACCUAAGAAAUGAAAUAUCCUAUCUCUCAUGCUUCUGCCUCCUCCUCCGAUUCUUUCUCUAUUUCUCCCAUCUAUUCUUCUUCUUCCUCAUCAAGUUUUUAACUUUAUACACUAUCCUUACAGAUCCACUACCGUGAAACAUAAAUCCAGCUAGAUCUAUUACAUUUGGUAUAUCAGAGCAAGGUUUCUUUGCUUUUAUUUAGCAAAGCUUGUUCGAUCAUGGCCGACGGUACGCGUUUGAAGGAACUGCAGGAAGCACAAAAGAAAAUGGAUCAGUUAUUGCAAGCUGAAUCAUUAAAAAGAACAGCUACUGAAGAAAGGUUUAAAGAGCAGAUAGCAGGGCUAGAUCAGAAGGUGGAUGCAAAAUAUGAUCAGUUAUCUGUCAUCUUGGGGGAAAUCAAACAACAACUCCUGUUUUUGGGCCAGAACAGGGAGGAUAUGGGAUCUAUUUUGGGUCCACCUCCGAACUCAGGCAAGAAAGAGGUAAUUCUAAUAGAAAUCAUGUUUUUACAUCUAAAAUCAGGAAUGAUUACUCAUCUCAGUCUAGUUUCAAUUCUGGAAAUUCUGUGCAUAGAAUCGAUUUCCCAAAAUUUGAUGGCACCAACCCUAGAGGAUGGAUUCUUAAGUGCAAUACCUAUUUCAAAUUGACUGCUGCUAUGUCUGAUGAGAAUAUGGUUCAACUUGCUGUUCAUAAUUUUGAGGGGAAAGCACUGCAGUGGUUACAGAAUUUUGGGUGUGAGAAUUUAUUUCUAUUACCUGGGAGCAAUUCAUGGAUGUGGUGGCUGCUAGGUUUGAGGAUUUGAAUGAGGGAAAAAUAGUAAUGGAAUUCAAGAAUCUUAAACAAAAUGGUUCUUAUGAUGAGUAUGUAGGAAAAAUUUGAAGAANGAUAUUUGAUUAUAUGCAUCCACGAAGACUGAACUACGUUGCUUGAUGAGUACCUCAGUCCAAUAUUCUGGGGGUCUUGUCGGCUUUUCGAUAGGAGCUCUGCAACCGUGACUAUCAUAAGAGGAGGCCUUCACAUUUCUUGGCAAUCUUCUCUCCCAGUUUCUCAAGUUGAGGUGGGAAACCCUCUUCACCAAACACUUCUCACCAAGUAAUUGCUUACUUUCUUCUCAUUCAACAAGCGUAUUCUUUCGUCACCCACCCUUUGUGUAUAUUAUUUGUUUUCUGCUUGUAAGUAUGAAUUGAAUCUUCCAUCAAUAUUCUCAUGUCGCUAGAAAUUUCUUAAUGAGAUUUACUGCUUGCAUCUCCCAAACAUCAUCGAACACGAUGAGACAUUUCUCAUCCUUCAAUUUUUCUUUCAAUACUUCAACUAAAUUCUCCCCAUUUUCAAGCAGUUCAUCAAAGUUGGGAAACACUUGAGCUAGAACGCAUGCUAAUAGGUCACAAGAUUCACAUUUUCUGCCCACUUUCACCCAUGCUCGAAACUCAAAAUGGCUCCGAAUUGUUGGAUCUUCAAAAAUAUGCUUAGCAAGAGUUGUCUUUCCAACGCCCGCCAUCCCAAUAAUCGAAUAGCUUUUAUCUGCAAGAAGAACAUCUCUGGCUUUUUGAAAUUCAUCAGAUAAUCCAACCAUCUUUGACUUGAUUCCACCAAAAUCAAUUCUUGAGGAAAUAGGCUCGUCUUCUUCUUCAGGCAUAUUCUGCAUUUCAAUGAAGUACUCCUCCUCCAUCAUCUUUACCAUCUCGACGAAGCAAUCAACAUGGUGUUGCAGACUCUGCAGCUCUACAGAGAAUGACAAGUUGUCUCUCUCGCUUUCGAGUUGUGGAAGAAUCUGAUGUAAGACAUGGGAUUCGAGUAAAUCUUCGAAUUCCCAAACUGCCUCUUUUAUGAGUUCAUCCAAAGCAUUCACCUUCGUCCUGAUCUUGCUGCAGCUCGUGUCGUCCAAUUUGAGCAGAACUUUCUGCAACUCAUCCAUCUGGCCGUAGGCAGGUAGUAAGAUUAGUGGAGAGUGGGAAACGAGAGAAAUGCGAGGCGAUUUUAGUAGAAUACGCAUAAUGGUAUUCUUGAGAGAAGCCGCCGCACCAUAAGCCGCCAUAUCCAAAUAAAUAAUCUGCUGAUCGUUGAAAUUAGCUCAGAAAUUUCCUCCAAAACUCUGUGGUAGAAAUCGCCUAAGAAAGAAACGGAUAUAAGAAUUAUUUUGAUGUUAGAUUAACAGAACUGUGUAUUAAAAUGAACUAAAAUUAGCUGCAAUAUGAAGCUUAAAAUGAACUAAAAUCAGCUGUAACAUGAAGCUUAAAUGAACUAAAAUCAGCUGCUAUAUGAAGCUUAAAGUGAACUAAUUAAAUCAGCUGCAACAUGAAGCUUUUAAAAUAAACUAAAAUCAGCUGCAAUAUGAAGCUUAAAAUUAACUCUAAAAUAAACUAAAAUCAGCAUAUGAAGUUUGAAAUGAACUCAAAUCAGCUGUAAUAUGAAGCUUAAAAUGAACUCUAAAAUGAACUAAAAUCAACUGCAGUGCGACAAACCCAAUCAGCUGAGAAUACGAUUGUUGAAACGACAUUGCUGAGCUCUGCAAAUUUCCUUCAAAAUGAAGCUUAAUAUCAACUGCAAUUAGCCCAGAAUAAAAUUGUGUGGUAGAAAUCGCCUAAGAAAGAAACGGAGAAGAAGAAUUAUAAUAAGCAAACAGAGAUGAAACAAAUGAUAGAUCUCAGCUAGCUCUGUGCUGUACCUCUCGUGGCACAAGUCGACGGCGGCGGCGGCAGCUGGUUUUGAUUUUGAUACAAUUUCAGAAACAUUCAAGAAUUUUAGUAAAUGAUUUGAAAAGAUGUGUAUAAUGCUAAUGGUAAAAUGGAUGUAUUGAUGAUUUUGAAGGCAAAUUAACGUGUGGAAGAAUAGUUAAAGGAGCGAGAAACAAAGCAACGGAAGAUUAAUUAUGAAGAUUGAGCAAUCAAGCAGUUGAACAGUUGAUCAAACGUGUUACGAUUGGAUUCACUCCUUUAGUUGUAUUGAUAAGAUAAGAUUGCUACGACGCCAUAAAGUAAAGUCGUGCUUUGCUUUUGCAUGGGGAAUUAGGGCCACUCAUUUCAAUAUUAAACCUUCUUUACAUAAAUAUUUCAACUCUAUUUUAUUUUACUAGCAGAAAGAGCGCACGUUGUACACAUCUUAUUUUAUUUGAUAAGAUAAAAAUAUAUAAAUAUAGUAUCUAUUAUAUUUAACUUUUCAAUUAACAAUUUGAUCUAUUUGAUUCUACAACUAUAAUAAACUCUUUUUAAAAUAAUAAUCAAUAAAUUAAUAAACUCUAUAAAUUAAUAAAUUUCUUAUGUUCUAACUUGGGUCAAUUCAAAAAAUCAUCAAUUUUAAUAAAACUUUCUCCGUCCGCCAAAAGUAUGCCACUUUUGUCAUUUUUAGCGUCCGUGAAUAGUAUGUUACUUACAUUUUUAGGUACAUUUUUUUUAUCAUUUAUUUUUAAAAAUACCCAUUAAUUAUUUACAAAAAUAAAUAAAUAAAUAAAAAAUCAGCCUGUAUUCAAUCACAUCCACUCAUAUCAUACAAUGGUGGGACAAUUUUUCUCCACUACAUAAAAAUCACCAAUCAUUUUAUUAAAAUCGGUGUCAACCAAAGUGACAUACUUUUUGUGGAUGAAAGGAGUAAUAAUUAUUUUUUAGAGAACCCUGUUGUAAACAUAUAGGUCCUGUUAAUAUUAUAAAUUAAUAAUUCUUAAAAUAUUACAAUUAUGUAUAUUAUGGUAAUUGUUAAAAUAUAAACCUAUUGUUGAAUCAUCUUAAUUAACUAAAUUUUUGGGCUGCCAACUUAAUUAACUAAUAUACUUUCUGCUUAAUUAUCCUUAUACAAUUGUGAUUGUCUGCUUAUACUUAAUUUUUGGGCUUAGGAUUUUGAGUUCGGCCCAUGUUUUCCUUGUUCUUUAGAAUUCUUUUUGGGCUUUUGGCACUUCGACCUUUUGUUAUUUGGAUCCUUUCUCGCCCCAUCUUUUUUUCUAUAUAAAGAAAAAAAAUAUUAGCUUAUAAAUAAAUUCAAACUUGUAUAAAAAAAAAUUGAACUGAAUUGCUUACCAAAUAUUAUAACAUUUGAAAAAUCUUUGACUGAAGGGGAAGAAUGGCAGGAGAAAAAAGAUGGUGAAAGAAAUAUGGUUCAAAGAAAAUUUGCGUGAAAGUAUAUUAUGUAUAAGUGAAUUGUGUAACUGUUGAAGACGUGUGUAAUUUAAAUAAAUUGACUUAUUUAUUUAUUUAUAUCUUUUAAGUUGGUCACUGUUGUGGGUUAGUGGGAUACAUAUGUAAAACUACCGUGACAUGAUGUGAGUUAAAUUUGCCGUUAAAUAGUUAAAAAUUAGUAAGAUUCUGUUAAAAAUUUGGCCCUAAAUAUUUUUCUGUUAAACUGCUUCUUUAUAUAUUAUAUAGAUUAUUUCGAUUAAUAUUUAAUUUAAGUAAUUAAUAUCCUUUUUUAAGGGAUUUAACUAAACCGGUAAACUUAAUUUUAGUAAGUAACAGAAUAUAAAUUUUAGCGUGAGUUCGAUUAGACAUUAGAGGUGAUCUGAUCUUCAUGUAGCAUUCAAAGCAUCUUAAUUAUAGGUAACUAUGAGACAUCUUUAAUGAAAAAUCAAUAAAUAAAGCCAACUACUCAACCAUCUCUCCUGCAUUUCGACACUCUAUAAAUAAAGCUUGAUAUAUAUGAGAUGGAAGUAUCAUAUAAUUCAUUCAGAUUAAUUGCAGCAAACUCAUCUCUUCCACCAAUCUGUAAUCAACAUGCACUAUAAACACAGAUAGAGCAGUAUAGAAUAAUUCUUGCUAGCAAACUAAAACAUUCUCAAACUAAGAACACAUAAAAUUCAUAACACAGAAAAAUUACAGUCCUUGAAUAAGAGACUAAUGUUUUCACACAAAUCCAACUUACAACAAUUUUUGCUACAAACACAUUCAGCACUCAGGUUUCAUAUAUAAUCCUCAACAAAUCACAAUCCUUAAAUUCAUACAACAAUGUGGUAAUACAACAAUGGAAUUCAAAUCUUGGGAUGACGCGGCGUCUGAUCCCUUCGGCUCUCUCAUUUGCCUGAAAAUUGAUAGAGCUGUGACAAUAACAAAAGAUAUAUAUUUAUGAUAUGAAUUGAUUUGUCUGUGAAAAAAGAGAAGAAGCAGGGAAGAAAUAUUAAGACGUGAUAUAUAUUGCAAAGUAGUGAGACUAACCUGUUACGCAAGUUGGAAAGUCACUUUAGCUCAAAAGAAGAAUAGACCAUAAGUUUGUAGGAAAACUUAUAUCUUAAUUGAUUGGCAAAAGCCACAGCUAAAGGAUUGCACUCCACUAAUUCAAUGGUCCUGAUCGAAGACUGAUCAUCCGACAAAUCGAGUUGUUGCAAUUUGUAGCAGUGCUUCAUCUUUAGUGUACGAAGCAUCGGGAGGCUUCCACAUUGAGGUCUCCAUUGCACCAAAUCGGUGUCCUCAAUUUGAAGUUCAAUGAGUUUCAAGAAACUCCCCGGUGUUAUUUCCCACUCUCGGCCUCGAAAGGCAUAGCAUUCUAAUUUGACAAUCUCGACUUUAGGAAGCAGCGAACCAAUGUCAUUUAGAGACUCCCAAGGAUAUCCCAACCCACUCAAAGAUAACAUUUUGAGACUUGAUGGGAACAUAGAAAGACGAAUAAUAGUAGGAAACUCACGCUUUAUCUCGGGAUUCGUCAUUCUAUAGUAAAGUGUUACCAAAUUCUGGAGUUCUGAUAUAUAACUCAAAGAACUCAAUGGGUUGGUUUCAUCAUCAUCAUAAGGCUUCAACACCACUUCAAUCGCUAAGUCCUUUAAAUUAGGAAUUCUUUUGAGAACUUCCAUUGUACAACUGUUUACACUCACACCAUAAAGUCUAAGGAGCUUGUUCAAGGUAACAUCAUCUGUGUUAGGGGUUGGUAGGUCCCUUCCCCAUAUCUCAAGAUGCUCUAAUUCUUCAAUAUCCCAAAUUUGCACAGGCACAAAAGACUGAACUCCGCGCUUUUUAAUGAUCAUAUGUUCAUGAAUAAUCAAGAAUUGAAGGUUAAAAAGGUUGGAUAUGGAAGGUGGGAGGUCCCCGUUGCAAGUUAGGGCAAGGUACCGCAGACAAACAAGUUUCAAAAUUUCAAUUGGGAUAUGGUAAAAUCGGACUUGAAAAGCAACAAGUACAUUGAGCAACUUGAAACCCAUGGCAU
This 7786-nucleotide long non-coding RNA is filed under the name Salvia miltiorrhiza (redroot sage). RNAcentral's name for it is "long non-coding RNA (SMIL_LNC008068)". Lineage: Eukaryota; Viridiplantae; Streptophyta; Magnoliopsida; Lamiales; Lamiaceae. The record is from RNAcentral.